RNAcentral lists this ribosomal RNA (207 nucleotides) under uncultured bacterium. RNAcentral describes it as "partial 16S ribosomal RNA". It matches the Rfam family "Bacterial small subunit ribosomal RNA", at positions 568 to 774 of the family's 1533-position model. The record is from RNAcentral.
AGCGUAGACGGAUGGACAAGUCUGAUGUGAAAGGCUGGGGCUCAACCCCGGGACUGCAUUGGAAACUGCCCGCCUUGAGUGCCGGAGAGGUAAGCGGAAUUCCUAGUGUAGCGGUGAAAUGCGUAGAUAUUAGGAGGAACACCAGUGGCGAAGGCGGCUUACUGGACGGUAACUGACGUUGAGGCUCGAAAGCGUGGGGAGCAAACA